GUUGGCAAAAGAAUAAAUCUGAAAAGCAGCAAUGACAGUGGAAGAAAACAAACAUGAAUGAUAUCUGGGGAAGCAGAAGCAAUGAUGUUGGCUUUCAGAAGCGGGUUUUGCUGGGCUCAGGGGCAUGAAGACUGCUCUGGAAAUAGGCACCUCCUACCGGCUUCCUCUCGAGGCUUCCAUGGAAAUUGUCUCCCUCCCUUCUCCUGCAAGCAGACAGCUGCAGUUUUGCCUCUUGGUGUGGUUUCCUCACACUACUCCCUGGGAAGUGCAAUAUGAUUUCCCCACAGAGCAGAUGGAAAGCUAGCUGGAGUCGCCCUUGCUCUGUGCAGCUCUCCCUCAGCUCAGCUCUGCCAGGGCCUGGUAAUGCAAACAAGCCUGGCUCCCCAAUGCCCGGCAGCCAGCAGCCAGUCAGCCUUGCCAACGCCCUGACGUGUAGCCACCACCAAAGCAUCACGAGCCAAGUUAAAGAAGCACUUGCAGCUUCUCUUUUGGACACCCAGAGGCUGAACGGUAACCCUAGAGGAGGACUUCACAGCGACAGCCUGGACAUGCUGGACACAGGGAUGACUCGCAUCCCAGAUGGGACCACGGGAGACUUCAUCAUGCUAUGCAGAAUACCCUGCAAUUCGAAGCUUAUAAAUUGUUUGCUUCUGGAAUUCUCUAUUUAUUAUUUUCAGACUGCCAGCGACUAUACAUUAGUGACACUGCAAAGAACAAACCCACAGGUAAGGGAGGACUACUGUACCUCCUUUUCGAUUUCUUAACAGCAAGACUUUUUAGCUCGGCUGAAGCUUAAUACUUUAAAAAAUCAAUUGCUGAGUCUAUCUUUUCUUAGGGAGAUGCAGCAAGUACACCGCCACUAUGAAGAUUCAGUGUGCUAAAUCAGUACACUGCAAGUAGUUUACGUGGCCAGUUCUG
RNAcentral lists this long non-coding RNA (918 nucleotides) under Fukomys damarensis (Damara mole-rat). RNAcentral's name for it is "lncRNA (ENSFDAG00000031221.1)". The record is from RNAcentral. Lineage: Eukaryota; Metazoa; Chordata; Mammalia; Rodentia; Bathyergidae.